UACGUAGGGUGCAAGCGUUGUCCGGAAUUAUUGGGCGUAAAGAGCUCGUAGGCGGUUUGUCGCGUCUGCUGUGAAAACUCGGGGCUUAACUCCGGGCCUGCAGUGGGUACGGGCAGACUAGAGUGCGGUAGAGGAGACUGGAAUUCCUGGUGUAGCGGUGAAAUGCGCAGAUAUCAGGAGGAACACCGGUGGCGAAGGCGGGUCUCUGGGCCGUAACUGACGCUGAGGAGCGAAAGCGUGGGGAGCGAACAGG
This 253-nucleotide ribosomal RNA is filed under the name uncultured bacterium. Its description in RNAcentral is "partial 16S ribosomal RNA". It matches the Rfam family "Bacterial small subunit ribosomal RNA", at positions 524 to 776 of the family's 1533-position model. The record is from RNAcentral.